Molecule: ribosomal RNA, 254 nt
Filed under: uncultured bacterium
Lineage: Bacteria
Description: partial 16S ribosomal RNA
Rfam family: Bacterial small subunit ribosomal RNA
Source: RNAcentral
CACGUAGGGGGCAAGCGUUGUCCGGAUUUAUUGGGCGUAAAGAGCUCGUAGGUGGUUCGGUAAGUCGGGUGUUAAACCCCCAGGCUCAACCUGGGGACGCCACUCGAUACUGCUGUGACUAGAGUCCGGUAGGGGAGCGUGGAAUUCCUGGUGUAGCGGUGAAAUGCGCAGAUAUCAGGAGGAACACCGAUGGCGAAGGCAGAUCUCUGGGCCGUAACUGACGCUGAGGAGCGAAAGCGUGGGGAGCGAACAGG